UUGUUUCAGGGAGAAGCUUUGGUUCACUAAAGAAUUCGCAGAAUUUCUUAAAGGCAGCUAAACCCAUGUUCCUUUACCUAAGUGAUAUUGUAGAUAGAGCACUGGUCCUAGAUUCUUGAAGACGACUUCUUCUUCAGAAACUAUAAUAUGAAGAGUCCAAAUGUAGAUACUGAAACUGCAAGAGACACUUCAUACAAUGAGCUCAAAGAGAGAAUCAUAUAGGACAAACAUGGACACAGACAGAAACAGAAAAAUAACCACUCAUAAGAAGAAACACCUUCAUGGAAUAUAACUCCUUGUGAAGAAUUCUAUCUACCAACUCAAGAAAGGGCUCCUAGUAAUCAAGUAUGAUAAGGUCAUAUGAGAUAAUGUGUAUAAAACCAUACCUAUACAGAGAUACAUCCAUCCAUUCAUCCAUCUGUCUGGCCAUCUGUCCGUCCGUCUUUCUCUUCUCUGGAUAGAUAUGUCCAGUGUGUAUGGUGUUUGACCCUAUGAAGACAUGGGAUAAUCACAGAGUUGAUAUAUUGAUAUACAGAUGAUACAAUUGAAUAAAUUUGUAAAUGUGUUAGUUUUAUGGUUGGAC
Molecule: long non-coding RNA, 583 nt
Filed under: Monodelphis domestica (gray short-tailed opossum)
Lineage: Eukaryota; Metazoa; Chordata; Mammalia; Didelphimorphia; Didelphidae
Description: lncRNA (ENSMODG00000037194.1)
Source: RNAcentral